Molecule: transfer RNA, 77 nt
Filed under: Citrobacter sp. A316
Lineage: Bacteria; Pseudomonadati; Pseudomonadota; Gammaproteobacteria; Enterobacterales; Enterobacteriaceae
Description: tRNA-Met
Rfam family: tRNA
About the family: Transfer RNA (tRNA) molecules are approximately 80 nucleotides in length.
Source: RNAcentral
GGCCCUUUAGCUCAGUUGGCAAGAGAGUGCGACUCAUAAUCGGCCGGUCGCUGGUUCAAGCCCAGCAAGGACCAUCA